This is a long non-coding RNA of Ictalurus punctatus (channel catfish), 562 nucleotides long. NCBI's taxonomy places the organism in Eukaryota, Metazoa, Chordata, Actinopteri, Siluriformes, Ictaluridae. The record is from Ensembl.
GUCUGAGAAGCUCAAGUAAAUAGCACAGCUGAGUAUUUUUGGCCUGCGCUGCUGAACGUUAUUCAUUAGGGACGUGAAGCUGUCAGAAUCUUCAUGCUAAAUGACAAGGCUGGGUUUGACAGGAACAAUGCAAACAUAAACACAUGAAGCAGCCAACAAAAAGGGUGUGUGUGUGCACGCGCGUGUGUUUCCUCAGUCACUUGUUGUGUUUGUGAUGCAAUUUAUUAAUUACAAUUAGCCAAACAUUUGGAUUUGUAACCUUCAGCACUCUCUUUAUCUAGCCCGAGCUGGAUUCUUCAGUCAACGGCGGUUCCUCUUCGGGUUCUCUGAGUCAGGAGGCAAGAGGCCAUGCAGAACUCACAGCACCGAGCCUGUCCUCAAGAUCACAGGCGAUGUGAGGGCUGCUAAUGACCUCGAAGUAAGAAGCGUCGAUGACGCGGUGCGUGAUGUGGCGAAGUCCCCGCUCUCCCAGACGAAGAUGGCCAACCCGGAGUUCCUUGCAUGCGUCCUCGAUCCAGCCACAAUUCCACCACCGAAUUCCCGACCACCACGUCCAUCAACC